GCAGGGGUAGCCAAGCUUGGCCAACGGCGCAAGAUUGAGGGUCUUGUCCUUAGUUGUCCGAGGGUUCAAAUCCCUUCCCCUGCACCA
This 87-nucleotide transfer RNA is filed under the name Caldisericales bacterium. RNAcentral describes it as "tRNA-Leu". It matches the Rfam family "tRNA". Rfam says of the family: Transfer RNA (tRNA) molecules are approximately 80 nucleotides in length. Their secondary structure includes four short double-helical elements and three loops (D, anti-codon, and T loops). Lineage: Bacteria; Pseudomonadati; Caldisericota; Caldisericia; Caldisericales. The record is from RNAcentral.